RNAcentral lists this small RNA (4800 nucleotides) under Pyricularia oryzae. RNAcentral's name for it is "Magnaporthe oryzae sRNA M_BR32_EuGene_00144841". Lineage: Eukaryota; Fungi; Ascomycota; Sordariomycetes; Magnaporthales; Pyriculariaceae. The record is from RNAcentral.
UUUUAAUUUUUUUUAUAAUAUAUCACCAGGAAAUUGGUAAUAUAAAACACGAUCAUAAUUUUAUAAUUUCUGGUAUAAAACAAAUAUAAUUUUUUUACGUUGGGUUUUAAGUUAAAAUUGUGGAAAAAAUUAGAAGAACGCUAAUAUUAUAACAAAACCGAUUUUUUUAUAUUAUAUAAAAUUAUUAGUAAAUAUAUAAAUAUAUUUAUUUUUUUAUAUUUUAGGGGUAAUAAAUAAUAUUUUGGUUUUUGGUUUUAAACAAAUUUGGUAUUAAAAUAGGUUUUUCUUAUAUUCGUUUAUUUUCUUUCCAUAUUUCGUGCCGCAAUUAUUACUAAUACCGUGCGGAACGAUUUAACGACAAAAGUAAUUGUAUAUAUAUUUCCAAUUAUAAUUGUUUAUAAAUCGUUUCUAACGCAAAUUCGUAUUUUGUAUUUAAUUAUAUAAUUGUCCUAGUUAAAUUUAUAUAGACAAACCCAUUUAAAUAAUAUAAACCUAAUUUUUUUCGGAUAUUUUGUAAAUUGAAUUCUUUUAUAAAUUUUUUUAACGUGGAAAUUGCCCAUUUUAUCGUUUACUGCGGGUAGAAAAUUGUUUUUAAUAAAUAUUUAAAUAUAAUUUUAUAAUUUUUGGGUAAUGGCGGAAAGUUAUUAAAAUAUUUAAAACCCUCCGCGUUAUAUAUAUUAAAACCUGUUUUUUCCUUUUUGGAAUUAAUUAAUUAUUUUUUAAAAAAAUUGGUGGCAAUUAUAAGAAUAUAAUAUAUUAUAAUUAGCAUAUUUUCGUAUUUUGGGUUAUAAUAUAUAAUUUUUAUAAAAUUUCGCUAAUUUUGUUCCGCAAUUGUUUUACUUAUAUAUAUAAAAAUUGCAAAUAUAUUUUUUAUUUCGUCGUUAUUUUAAUUGUUUUUUUUAUUGGCGGAUUUUAUUAUUUAUUUGCGAAUUUUGUUAAUUUACCGCGGCGUUUUAUAGCGGUUUGUAAUAGGAUUUUUAUAUUUAUUUAAAUUUUAAAUAAAUAAUUUUAUUGUAGUAAAAAAAAUGGUUUUUCCAUUUUUUUAAAGGUAUAAUAAUAUAUAUUACGGUAUUAAUUUCCGGAAAUAUUUUCAAUCAAAAAGUUUUGUUCCGGGUUUUUAAAAAAUUUAAAUAUAAUUUUUGAAAUUUUAAAACCGAUAUCCAAUUUUCGGUUUUUUUCCAAUAUUCGUUCCGCAAUUAUAGGAAUAAUUAUAAGUUUUUUUUCGACGGGUAAUUUAACAAAAUUUCCAACGUUCUGGGCGUAUUUAACUUUUUUAUCCAAUUCGUCGACGGUAAAUUGGAUUAUUUCGGGAAACAAACGGUGUUUUUCCGUUUAUAAAAUUGAAAAAUAAUAAUUCGUUAAGCGUUACGUUGCGAAUUACAAUUACGCGACGCAAAAAUGGAAGCCAAAUUCGGUAAAUGGUAUUUAAAACGUAUUUUACAAAAUAACCAAUAUACGUUUUUGCGUUAAUUUUAUAAUAUUUGCGGUUUGUUUUUUAUAAUUAUUUUUUAUAUAUUAUAUAAAUUUUGCAUUUAUACGCAAUUACGCCGUAUUAUAAAAAUUUAUAUUUAUUUAUGUUUUUUUGUUUAACGUUUGCACGUUAAUUGGUAAAUAAUUAUAAAUAGUUUAAAAAUGCGUGGUUAUUUAUUAAUUUAAGAUUUAAAUGGGUAAUUUAAAUUUUGUUUUUGCGCGACAUAGUUUAUUAUACAAUUAAACGGCCGUUUUCGCCGUUUUUGGCUACAAAUUAAUGGGAAAAUAUAUACCCAAUAAUAUUACCAAAACGUUGGCUUAUAUUUUCUAAUUUAUUCGUUUAAUUUUCCUGUUAAAUUCGUAUAUAUUCGCAAAACUAAAGAUUAAUUUAAUUUCUUUUUUAUUUACCCAAAUUUUGUAUUUUUUCAAAUUUUAGAGUUUAUUUAAUAUUAUUGCCGGAUUUAUAUCGCUCCGUAUUUUGCAAAUAAUACAACCGUAUUAUUUCCGAGCCCAUCUUUCGAAAUUUUUAAUAAUAUUAAAAAAAUUCAAACCCUAAACGGGAUUAUAUAAAAAUAAUAUAAAUUAAUCCGCAAAAAAUAUUUUUAAUUUUUAAUAGGUAUUUUAUUCCGUUAUAUUUUUCGGGGUAAUAUAUAUAAUUCCAAAAUAUUCUCCAAAACCAAAAUAGUCGGUAAGGGCGAUUUUCUGGGAUUCGCCGUAAAACUAUUCGUUUUGCGUAUAUUUGUGCGCAAUUUUUACAAAAUAUACAAAUAUCGCCCAUAACCUUUACCUUUUUUGCGUUUUAUAUUAGCCGUUCCAACAUUAAUUAUUCCAAAUAACCAAUUUGUAAAUAUUAGGUGCGCGUUAUUUUAAUUUUUGGUUUAGGAACUUAUAAUAUUAAUAAGAAAUGUCCUUUUUACCGUUUUAUUAUAUUAUAUAUAACCGUUAUAAUAAUAAUUCACGUUUAAAAAAAAGAAUUAAAAUUGAAAAGGUAAAAGAAUUGUGCAGUAUUAAUUUAUAUUUAAAAAACGGUAGGUUUUUUUAUUUUUCCAAUUGUAAAACUAACGUAUUCGCCUAAAUCAACUCGUAUUUUAGAAAAACAUUUUAACCAUAUAAUUACAAAUUAUAUUUGCUAAUUAAUAUUUCGGAUAUAAUAUUAACGUGGAAUUUUGGAAUUAAUGCGAUUUUUUCCAAAAUUAAAUCCCUGUUAUCAAAUAAAUUAUUAAAAGUUUUGCGGCCAUAUUUUUAAAUUUGCAACGUGGAUAUGCCGGUUGCGAUUACAUUAUUAAUUCUUGCUGGGUAAAACGUUUUUUCGUCAAUUAAUAAUAUUAAACUAAUAACGUAUAUUGCGUUUUUAUUAUAGAUAAUAAUAUUAUCGGCGAAACAAUGGGUAUUUUUUUUAAUUGCAAAUAUAUUAACUACCAUUUUUAAUAUUUUAAUUAUAUUAUACGGUAUAGCGGUAUAAUAUAUAAAUUUAUUGGGAAUUUGUUUAAAAUUUUCCUAUAUCCCCAAAUUUUUUUUACGAAUCAAAAAUCCCCGUUGGAAUUUUUUAUAAAAAGGUUUUUACGUCCCAAAUUUUGACGAAAUUAUUUAUGAAUUUUGGAUUUUAAUAAUUUUUGUAAAAUUAUAUUUUUUUCGUCGGAAUUUAUAUUAAAUUUUUUCGAUCUUUUUAAACUUUUUGUACCUGUUAAAGCCCAAUGGAAUUUGUUACAAUCUUUUAAUUUCCAGCGAUAUUUCCUAUUAUUGAUAUUUUUAUAUAAAUAUUGGUGUUUUUGUAUUAACUUUAUUUUGGUUUAAACUAUUUUUAUUUAAAUUCUUUUGCGAACUAUUUUUUCCAUUAUUACAAUAAUUGGAAUUGGUUUUGGGUUUCGUCGGUUAAAUCUUUUCAAUUAUAUAUAUAUUUCGAAAAUUUUUAAAUAUUGUUUACGUCCAUAAGUGGUUUUUUUAUAAUUAUUAUUUUAUUUAUUUGAUAAAAUUGGUAAAGUUUCCAAAAAACAAAUAUUCGCGCCGCGAUUACCGAUAAUAAAUCGGUAAUUCCUAUAAUAUUUUGGAUUUCCGGAAUAUUAUAUAUAUAUUUUGGCAAAUAUAAAUUUUAUUUGUAUAUUUUAUAUCCAGGUUUCCGGAUUUGUACCUUUUUAUCUGAUUUUGUCGAAUUAAUGUCGGUAUUUACGGCGAAUUUUAUUUAUUUCCGUGCUUUCCAAACAAUUAAUUAAAAAUCGAAAAAUGCGGAGGAAAAAUUAAAUAUCCGCCGUUUAUUUUUACUAUAUUAUAACGUUCGCCCGUUUUAUAAAAUUUGCAUUUGUUAAUUUAUCAAUUAAAAAGAAAAGUCGAUAUAAUAUUUGGUUACGUCGGAAGUAAAUAAAACAAAUACCACGUUAUUGUACUAUUUUCUGAAUUUUUGGUAUAUUGUUUAUUUUUCGUCCAAAUUGUUAUUUAUAUCCAAAUUUAAACGUUUUGUCCAUAUUAAUUUUUUUGCUGCAAUAAUAUUGGAAAAGAAAUUCUGGUACUUUUAAUAUAAAUGGGGUUAGGUAUAUUUUCGGUAAAAAUAAAUUAAAACCCAAAUAUAGCGUGUUUUAAUUGCGGUUUCGAUGGAUAAAAACCAUUUAAACCAUUUUUUCGCCGUGCGGAAUAUAAUAAUACCAAAUUUAACUUUUUUUUCGGAAAGGUAAAAUAUAAUAAACAAAUAUACGGUUUGCGGGAAUAUGGUAGGAAAAAGGGUUUAACAAAAAAUAUUAAAAAAAUAUAUUGCGUAUAUGGGUUAUAUAAUUUGUAAAUAAAAUAAAUAAUUUAUAAAGUUUUUGGAUUAAACGUUUUCCGGGUUUAACAUUGUUAUAAACGUUAUUUUUUAUUUAAUUUAUUUGAACGAAUGUACUCAUUUGGUUGGGUUUAUACAAUCGAACAAAUUUCAAUAUAAUACUAGUUUCAUUUUAGGAAACUAAGGUAAAGAAAUGUUAUGCGCGUUACAAAAUCGUGUUUAAAUAAGAAAAACGCGUUAAUUUGAACAAAUAAAUAUUGUAUUUUUAACCAAACGCGCAAACAAAACCGCUGCUAAUAAUUUAGCUGGUUUCAGCCCAAUUUAAAUUGAGUAUGGCUAGAUAUUUUGUCAAAGGUUGGAAUGCACGCCUUUGUGGCUAAUUGCGGUGGUUUAAUACGCGAUAGUAUAAUAUAUAUAUAUUUAUACCGUUAAUAAUAAUCGAAAUAUUAAAAAUAUUAUAUAUUUGCUAUUUUUAUUAUUUAAAGUUCAAAUUUAUAUGCAAUAAAUGUAAGGUGAAACCCAUCAAAUAAAUUGAAGUUCAAAUAUUUUUUAAGAAUUGAAAUAGGGCUUAUAAUAUA